ACGAACGCUGGCGGCGUGCUUAACACAUGCAAGGCGAACGGAAAGGCCCUGCUUUUGUGGGGUGCUCGAGUGGCGAACGGGUGAGUAACACGUGAGUAACCUGCCCUUGACUUUGGGAUAACUUCAGGAAACUGGGGCUAAUACCGGAUAGGAGCUCCUGCUGCAUGGUGGGGGUUGGAAAGUUUCGGCGGUUGGGGAUGGACUCGCGGCUUAUCAGCUUGUUGGUGGGGUAGUGGCUUACCAAGGCUUUGACGGGUAGCCGGCCUGAGAGGGUGACCGGCCACAUUGGGACUGAGAUACGGCCCAGACUCCUACGGGGGGCAGCAGUGGGGAAUAUUGCACACUGGGCGGAAGCCUGAUGCAGCAACGCCGCGUGCGGGAUGACGGCCUUCGGGUUGUAAACCGCUUUCGCCUGUGACGAAGCGUGAGUGACGGUAAUGGAUAAAGAAGCACCGGCUAACUACGU
This 466-nucleotide ribosomal RNA is filed under the name uncultured bacterium. Its description in RNAcentral is "partial 16S ribosomal RNA". It matches the Rfam family "Bacterial small subunit ribosomal RNA", at positions 29 to 506 of the family's 1533-position model. The record is from RNAcentral.